GACGAACGCUGGCGGCGUGCUUAACACAUGCAAGUCGAGCGGUAAGGCCCUUUCGGGGGUACACGAGCGGCGAACGGGUGAGUAACACGUGGGUGACCUGCCCUUAGCUCUGGGAUAAGCCUGGGAAACUGGGUCUAAUACCGGAUAUGACUCCAUGACGCAUGUUGUGGGGUGGAAAGCCUUGUGCGGCUAGGGAUGGGCCCGCGGCCUAUCAGCUUGUUGGUGGGGUGAUGGCCUACCAAGGCGACGACGGUAGCCGGCCUGAGAGGGCGACCGGCCACACUGGGACUGAGACACGGCCCAGACUCCUACGGGAGGCAGCAGUGGGGAAUCUUGCGCAAUGGGCGAAAGCCUGACGCAGCGACGCCGCGUGAGGGAUGACGGCCUCGGUGUAAC
Molecule: ribosomal RNA, 396 nt
Filed under: uncultured bacterium
Lineage: Bacteria
Description: bacterial SSU rRNA
Rfam family: Bacterial small subunit ribosomal RNA
Source: RNAcentral